This 141-nucleotide small RNA is filed under the name Metabacillus indicus. RNAcentral's name for it is "Bacillus cibi c-di-AMP sequence". It matches the Rfam family "c-di-AMP riboswitch aptamer (ydaO/yuaA leader)". From Rfam's summary of the family: This family represents a conserved RNA structure found upstream of the ydaO and yuaA genes in Bacillus subtilis and related genes in other bacteria. The ydaO/yuaA element is thought to act as a genetic "off" switch for the ydaO and yuaA genes in its native state. The record is from Rfam by way of RNAcentral. Lineage: Bacteria; Bacillati; Bacillota; Bacilli; Caryophanales; Bacillaceae.
GUUCUUAAAUCGCUGAAUCCAUUAGGAGCGGGGGACCCAAAUUUGCUGCAGACUGCAGCUCGGGGUGAAUCCUUUACAGGUAGGGCUACUCUCAUGGCCCGAAUCCGACAGCUAACUUCGCAAGCGUUCUUGAGAGAGGAU